GGAUGUGAGGGCGAUCUGUCUGCAACAUCUGUUACCCUAUUAAUCACCAGGGUUGAUUAGGCUGAUGUGGCUGGCUAGGCAGGUGUCCUGUUCCUCCCUCACUGCUCCAUAUGCAUCUCUCCAAAGUUCUAUCUCCUGGAUAGAAGAGAACCAUCCUUUGGGCCAAGUAUAUACAAGUGGGCUCCCCUGCUAGAACCACCAAACAAGCUCUCAAGGUCCAUUUGUAGGAGAAGGUAAAGUAGUCAAGCUUCUAAGACUUCAGACACAUCCAAAUGAGGUGCUAUAUGUAGCAGUGUUCCUUUCUUA
Vulpes vulpes (red fox) is the source of this 306-nucleotide unclassified non-coding RNA. Its record names the gene 7SK. It matches the Rfam family "7SK RNA". From Rfam's summary of the family: 7SK was discovered as an abundant small nuclear RNA in the mid-70s but a possible function has only recently been suggested. Lineage: Eukaryota; Metazoa; Chordata; Mammalia; Carnivora; Canidae. The record is from Ensembl.